RNAcentral lists this long non-coding RNA (793 nucleotides) under Carassius auratus (goldfish). RNAcentral describes it as "lncRNA (ENSCARG00000033107.1)". The record is from RNAcentral. Lineage: Eukaryota; Metazoa; Chordata; Actinopteri; Cypriniformes; Cyprinidae.
UCUACCAUAAUCCCAUAGUAGGCUGUCAGUGUCAGUAUGGUUUUUGGGGGGCUGCCCCGAUGUACACAAGUGGGAUGAGUAGCCCCUUGGGUGAGUAAUGCUGUCCACUGACAUAUUUUGUCACUGACCACACACAUCAUAACUACAUCUAACUUUCAGUGAGGUGAAAAGUACAACGUCUCAAAAACAGUUCCAUUGUGUCAUGACAUUUACUGCCCAUCUUUGAGGUCUGACCCUAAAUUAUGUGAAACAAUACAGCUGUCUAUACAGCUGAGAUGAAAGGUGAGAAAGGUGUUUUUCAGAAGAAAACAGAUCUUUAUAUAUAUAUAACUCUCUAUAACUCUCUAUAUAUAAAACUCUCUAUAACUCUCUUUUUGGCAUGAAACACCCCCAUUCCACCUACUCCAUGGCUUUAGUGUUAAGUUUCUUGUUCUUCAGAAACGCCAGCAUCACAAAACCUAACCGGCUUCAGAAGAUGCGCUCGAUGGAGGUACAACAGUGGCUCCCAGAGUUGUGGUUUGACUACAGAUUUCACAGCAAGGCCAUGAAUCACCAAAACAUGCAUUACUAAAAAUGGACAAAGCUCUACACAACUUGCCUAGAAGUGGAUCUGCCAGACUGUUGCAAUGUAAGUAAAUCAUAAUCCUGAAUACCAAGAACAUGCAACAGGUCAUUGUUCACAGGCUGAGUGCAUUUUAUGGUUGACAUUUCCUUCUUGUAAACGCUGUUGUUUUGGGGUAGAAGGAAGUUUUCUAUUAUCAGAUUCAGUGUGUGGACUUUUACAGACAAUGGC